Molecule: ribosomal RNA, 460 nt
Filed under: uncultured bacterium
Lineage: Bacteria
Description: partial 16S ribosomal RNA
Rfam family: Bacterial small subunit ribosomal RNA
Source: RNAcentral
CCUACGGGAGGCAGCAGUGAGGAAUAUUGGUCAAUGGACGCAAGUCUGAACCAGCCAUGCCGCGUGCAGGAUGACGGCUCUAUGAGUUGUAAACUGCUUUUGUACGAGGGUAAACCCCGAUACGUGUAUCGGGUUGAAAGUAUCGUACGAAUAAGGAUCGGCUAACUCCGUGCCAGCAGCCGCGGUAAUACGGAGGAUCCGAGCGUUAUCCGGAUUUAUUGGGUUUAAAGGGUGCGUAGGCGGUUUGAUAAGUAAGAGGUGAAAUGCCGGGGCUCAACCCCGAAACUGCCUCUAAUACUGUUAGACUAGAGAAUAGUUGCGGUAGGCGGAAUGUAUGGUGUAGCGGUGAAAUGCUUAGAGAUCAUACAGAACACCGAUUGCGAAGGCAGCUUACCAAACUAUAUCUGACGUUGAGGCACGAAAGCGUGGGUAGCAAACAGGAUUAGAUACCCGGGUAGUC